CAGAGGGUGCAAGCGUUAAUCGGAAUUACUGGGCGUAAAGCGUGCGUAGACGGUUACGUAAGUCAGAUGUGAAAGCCCCGGGCUCAACCUGGGAAUUGCAUUUGAGACUGCGUAGCUAGGGUGCGGAAGAGGGAAGCGGAAUUUCCGGUGUAGCGGUGAAAUGCGUAGAUAUCGGAAGGAACACCAGUGGCGAAAGCGGCUUCCUGGUCCAGCACCGACGUUCAGGCACGAAAGCGUGGGGAGCAAACAGGAUUAGAUACCCUGGUAGUCCACGCCAUAAACGAUGAGGACUAGACGUUGAGAGGGUAAGCCUCCCAGUGUCGCAGCUAACGCGAUAAGUCCUCCGCCUGGGGAGUACGGCCGCAAGGUUG
RNAcentral lists this ribosomal RNA (371 nucleotides) under uncultured organism. RNAcentral's name for it is "bacterial SSU rRNA". It matches the Rfam family "Bacterial small subunit ribosomal RNA", at positions 526 to 896 of the family's 1533-position model. The record is from RNAcentral.